RNAcentral lists this ribosomal RNA (546 nucleotides) under uncultured Glomeromycotina. Its description in RNAcentral is "SSU rRNA". It matches the Rfam family "Eukaryotic small subunit ribosomal RNA", at positions 548 to 1098 of the family's 1831-position model. The record is from RNAcentral. Lineage: Eukaryota; Fungi; Glomeromycota.
UUGGAGGGCAAGUCUGGUGCCAGCAGCCGCGGUAAUUCCAGCUCCAAUAGCGUAUAUUAAAGUUGUUGCAGUUAAAAAGCUCGUAGUCGAAUUUCGGGAUUAGUACGUUGGUCGUGCCUUCGGUACGUACUGGUGUUACUGAUUCCUACCUUCUGACGAACCAUCAUGUCAUUAAUUUGGUGUGGCGGGGAAUCAGGACUGUUACUUUGAAAAAAUUAGAGUGUUUAAAGCAGGCUCGCGCUUGAAUACAUUAGCAUGGAAUAAUGAAAUAGGACGUUGACCCUAUUUUGUUGGUUUCUAGGAUUGACGUAAUGAUUAAUAGGGAUAGUUGGGGGCAUUAGUAUUCAAUUGUCAGAGGUGAAAUUCUUGGAUUUAUUGAAGACUAACUACUGCGAAAGCAUUUGCCAAGGAUGUUUUCAUUAAUCAAGAACGAAAGUUAGGGGAUCGAAGACGAUCAGAUACCGUCGUAGUCUUAACCAUAAACUAUGCCGACUAGGGAUCGGAUGAUGUUAUUUUUAAUGACUCAUUCGGCGCCUUACGGGAAAC